This is a non-coding RNA of Euryarchaeota archaeon RBG_16_68_12, 83 nucleotides long. Lineage: Archaea; Methanobacteriati; Methanobacteriota. The record is from Rfam.
GCGCCCGUCGCCUAGCGGUCAAUGGCGGUCGUCCUAGAAACGACCGGUGAGUCCUUUCGUUGGUUCGAGUCCAACCGGGCGCA